Molecule: long non-coding RNA, 214 nt
Organism: Fundulus heteroclitus (mummichog)
Lineage: Eukaryota; Metazoa; Chordata; Actinopteri; Cyprinodontiformes; Fundulidae
Exons: 4
Source: RefSeq, a predicted model, not a curated record
AGGAAAGCCAAGGCUACAGUCUGAAUCUCAACCAAAGGAAAUAAGGUGAAUAUUUGACCUGCAUCUUCUCCACCAUGAAGCUGCUGACUCUGUCGUUCCUUCUUUGUGCCCUGCUGGCUCUGAGCUUGGCUGCGGAUACCACAAAGGGAACUGUAACCAAGGAUGCUGAGGAGGCUGCUGAAGAAUCCAAGGAUGAGGAAACCGCUCCAGAAGG